Molecule: ribosomal RNA, 1932 nt
Filed under: human gut metagenome
Description: bacterial LSU rRNA
Rfam family: Bacterial large subunit ribosomal RNA
Source: RNAcentral
UCAAGCAAUAAGGGCACAGGGCGGAUGCCUUGGCACUAAGAGCCGAUGAAAGACGUGAUAAGCUGCGAUAAGCUUCGGGGAGGAGCAAAUAUCCCGUGAUCCGGAGAUGUCUGAAUGGGGAAACCCACAUGAGCAAACCUCAUGUAUCCAUACGCCAAUCCAUAACGUAUGGAAGGGAACCCGGGGAACUGAAACAUCUAAGUACCCGGAGGAAAAGAAAGAAAACUCGAUUCCGUAAGUAGCGGCGAGCGAACGCGGAGGAGCCUAAACCGGAAUGCGUGCAUUCCGGGGUUACGGACUGCAUUUAAGAUUCUCUGAAGCUAACAGAACGGUUUUGGGAAAGCCGGCCGGAGAGGGUGAAAGCCCCGUACGUGAAAGCUGAUGAGACUGAGCAGGAUCCAGAGUACCACGAGACACGUGGAACCUUGUGGGAAAUCAGGGGGACCACCCCCUAAGGCUAAAUACUACUUAGUGACCGAUAGCGCAUAGUACUGUGAAGGAAAGGUGAAAAGGACCCCGGGAGGGGAGUGAAAGAGAACCUGAAACCCUGUGUCUACAAGCUGUGGAAGCACUUUAUAUGUGCGACCGCGUACUUUUUGUAGAACGGUCCGGCGAGUUACGCUUACUGGCAAGGUUAAGCACUUCAGGUGUGGAGCCGUAGGGAAACCAAGUCUUAAGAGGGCCUUAAGUCAGUAGGAGUAGACCCGAAACCGGGUGAUCUAUCCAUGUCCAGGUUGAAGCUGCCGUAAGAGGUAGUGGAGGACCGAACCCACAUCCGUUGAAAAGGGUGGGGAUGAGGUGUGGAUAGGGGAGAAAUUCCAAUCGAACCCGGAGAUAGCUGGUUCUCCUCGAAAUAGCUUUAGGGCUAGCCUCGAUACAGAUUUGCGGAGGUAGAGCACUGAAUUUCCUAGGGGGCGUCAAAGCCUACCGAAGAAUAUCAAACUCCGAAUGCCGCGUAAUCGAUUAUCGGGAGUCAGACUGCACGAGAUAAGUUGGGCGGUCAAAAGGGAAAGAGCCCAGACCUUCAGUUAAGGUCCCCAAGUGCGCGUUAAGUGGAAAAGGAUGUGGGAUUUCGAAGACAACCAGGAUGUUGGCUCAGAAGCAGCCAUCCAUUCAAAGAGUGCGUAAUAGCUCACUGGUCGAGAGGUCCUGCGCCGAAAAUGUCCGGGGCUGAAACGCGCCACCGAAACUAAGGAACCGAAAGGUUGGUAGAGGAGCAUUGCAUGCGGGAAGAAGCAGUACCGUAAGGAGCUGUGGACUGCAUGGAAGAGAGAAUGCCGGAAUGAGUAGCGAGAAUAAGGUGGGAAUCCUUAUGGCCGAAUAUCCAAGGUUUCCAGAGUAAAGCUGAUCUGCUCUGGGUAAGUCGGGGCCUAAGGCGAGGACGAGAGUCGUAGCCGAUGGACAACAGGUGGAGAUUCCUGUACUGCGGUAUGACAGAACUGUGGGGACACGUAAGGAAAGCGGAAGCCGGGAAUGGAAAGCCCGGUGCAAGCGGGGUACCAGUCACUUUGGCAAAUCCGGGUGGCAAUGGGAAGCCGUGAUGCGGAGCGAAAUAAAGUAGCGAAGUCCGUGAGCCAUGCGUCAAGAAAAGCCGCUAUCGUUUAUACCGUACCCGUACCGUAAACCGACACAGGUGGAUGAGGAGAGAAUCCUAAGGCCGGCGGAAGAAGCAUUGUCAAGGAACUCGGCAAAAUGGCCCCGUAACUUAGGGAUAAGGGGUGCCUGGGAAACCAGGCCGCAGAGAAUAGGCUCAAGCAACUGUUUAGCAAAAACACAGGUCUAUGCGAAACCGAAAGGUGAGGUAUAUGGGCUGACGCCUGCCCGGUGCUGGAAGGUUAAGAGGAGAGGUUAGCGCAAGCGAAGCUUUGAAUUUAAGCCCCAGUAAACGGCGGCCGUAACUAUAACGGUCCUAAGGUAGCGAAAUUCCUUGUC